GCUCAGGUGGUGGAAUUGGUAGACACGUACGUUUGAGGGGCGUAUGACGAAAGUCGUGUGGGUUCGAGUCCCGUUCUGAGCACCA
RNAcentral lists this transfer RNA (85 nucleotides) under Bacilli bacterium. RNAcentral describes it as "tRNA-Leu". It matches the Rfam family "tRNA". Rfam says of the family: Transfer RNA (tRNA) molecules are approximately 80 nucleotides in length. Lineage: Bacteria; Bacillati; Bacillota; Bacilli. The record is from RNAcentral. RNAcentral also lists the same sequence under 2 other names.